This 1871-nucleotide long non-coding RNA is filed under the name Anser brachyrhynchus (Pink-footed goose). Its description in RNAcentral is "lncRNA (ENSABRG00000006959.1)". Lineage: Eukaryota; Metazoa; Chordata; Aves; Anseriformes; Anatidae. The record is from RNAcentral.
ACAGAAAAUCCUUCCUGCAGCAUGGGCCAGGUUAUACCGGAUGUCUCAUACAGGCCAGUAUCUUAUUCCAUGCAUGACUUACUCAUGUUGCAAAAGCAGGCCCUUGUGAUUAUAUAACAGCUCUCAAGAGGAAGCUGCUAACAAGACCAUCUGACAUUUUUUUGCCAGCUGUUUUAGUGGAGGCGUGUUGGAUUAGACUGAGCUCCACCUUCUCUGAUGAGCAAAGCAUUUGGAAAAUGACAGAGCCUGAAGAAAAAGGAAUUUCAAAAUCUGGCUCCCCAUUUUCUCCUGAGCAGGUCUGCUCUUCUACAUGUGUGGACAAGUAGGCAAGAGUGGUCUACAAGCUCCUUCUCAGCAAGCCCGGCUGUUAGGAGUCAUGACUUCGCAUGAUGCAGUGACUCCUGCUAAGUUCCUGUCAGUGUGCCAUAGUUCAGUGAGAAGCACAGUGUCUUCAGAUGGUGCUGGACAAGCUUUUCUCCAUGAUGUGCUGUUAAAAGCAUAUAUCCAGAUAUCCAGAAAAAAAAAAAAAGUGGAAAAAAAGAAGCAGCUGACCAAUAACUUACCUAGAAAAAAUGAAUGGAAGUGUAUACCAGAAGAUGAAUGCAACCUUCAAAACACCCUGUUCAGCUUUGUAGAGGGCUCUGGGAGAGUGGUUCUGUGGAGUCUGGAAAUGCUUAAAAAUAGCUUUGCUUGGGACACCACACAAUCUGCUGACAUUUUGGAACUCCGGGAUAAAAACAGAACAUUUCCAACAGCAAAGGUCUCCUGAAGUUGUUGAAAGAAGAUUAGAACAGUGGUUCUUCUUGCACGUUCUUUUCUUAAGUCAUUUUUCUUAAAAACUGAUUCCCUCCAACUGAAACACUGAAGGCAAACUUCCAUGGCCAGAGAAAUCACUUGUCAGAGAGACAAGACCAAUUACUUGUUAAAACAAAAACAGGUAAAUCCUACCAGGGCAGAUCCAUUGCCAUAAUGAGGAAUUUUGCCAGGUUAUACUUUUGUGUGUGUGUGUGUGUGUUUAUUUUUCUAAUGAUACUCUACAUCAGAAUUUCACAGGAUCACAGAAUGGCUGAGGUUGUAAGGGAUCUCUGAAGAUCACUUUGUCCAACCCCCUUACCGAGCAGAAUCACCUAGAGCAUGUUGUGCAGGAUGGCAUCCAGGCGGGUUUUGAAUAUCUCCAGAGGAGAUUUCCCAAACUGUCUGGGGAACCUGUCCCAGUGCUGUCACCCUCAUAGUAAAGAAAUGCCCUCUCAUACUCAGCAGGAACCUCCUGUGCUUCAGGUUGAGCCCGUUACCGCUUGUCCUCUUGCUGGGCACAACUGAAAAGAGACUGGCUCCAUCCUCUUGACACUCUCCUCUCAGAUAUUUAUACAUAUUGAUGAGGUCGCCCCUCAGUCUUCUCUUUUCCGGGCUAACCAGACCCAGUUCUCUCAUCCUGUCCUAUGACAGGUGCUCCAGUCCUCUAAUCAUCUUUGUAGCCCUCCUCUGAACUCUCUCCAGUAGUUCUAUGUCCCUCUUGCACUGGGGAGCCCAGAACUGGACACAAUACUCCAGGUGUGGCCUCACCAGGGCUGAGCAAAAGGUGAGGAUCACCAUCUCCCUUGACCUGCUGGCAACACUCUUCCGAAUGCACCCCAUUUCAUUAAAUGCUCAACUCUGCUGUCCUUGCCUGUUUUAGAUUACCUCCUAAAAUCUCUGCUUUCUUCACAUUCUGGUGUCUUAAUCUUGUAAAAAUUGUCUCAGCAUGACAUAAGUCUCACACAUAAACUGUUCCUGUUAAUGCUCAAAGAAUUAAAUGCAACUAAAGAUGAAGGUGAUUAUCUAACUACCUGCAGAAUAAUAAACAAACUGCAAUACUUUGAUAUAAGAAGAUU